AUUGAACGCUGGUGGCAUGCCUUACACAUGCAAGUCGAACGGUAACAGGUUAAGCUGACGAGUGGCGAACGGGUGAGUAAUGUAUCGGAACGUGCCCAGUCGUGGGGGAUAACGUAGCGAAAGCUACGCUAAUACCGCAUACGAUCUACGGAUGAAAGCGGGGGAUCGCAAGACCUCGCGCGAUUGGAGCGGCCGAUAUCAGAUUAGGUUGUUGGUGAGGUAAAAGCUCACCAAGCCUGCGAUCUGUAGCUGGUCUGAGAGGACGACCAGCCACACUGGAACUGAGACACGGUCCAGACUCCUACGGGAGGCAGCAGUGGGGAAUUUUGGACAAUGGACGCAAGUCUGAUCCAGCAAUGCCGCGUGCAGGACGAAGGCCUUCGGGUUGUAAACUGCUUUUGUACGGAACGAAACGGUGAGCUCUAAUACAGUUUGCUAAUGACGGUACCGUAAGAAUAAGCACCGGCUAACUACGUGCCAGCAGCCGCAGUAA
RNAcentral lists this ribosomal RNA (493 nucleotides) under uncultured bacterium. Its description in RNAcentral is "partial 16S ribosomal RNA". It matches the Rfam family "Bacterial small subunit ribosomal RNA", at positions 30 to 523 of the family's 1533-position model. The record is from RNAcentral.